Paramuricea clavata is the source of this 218-nucleotide non-coding RNA. NCBI's taxonomy places the organism in Eukaryota, Metazoa, Cnidaria, Anthozoa, Malacalcyonacea, Plexauridae. The record is from the annotation of a GenBank genome assembly.
UAUAGCCUUGCGAAGUUUGCCGUUUUUCAGUCAUUUUGUAUUACGCACGGGAAAUUGACAGCCCAGUCGGGUGUUGGGGCAUCAAUUUCCCGUUUGUAAUGCAAAAUGACUGAAAAUUGCAAAUUUCGCAGGGCUAUAUUAUCCACAUUUGACAACAUUUCGCAACGAAACCUCGGAAGAUUACUAAUUUUGUGAUGCUCUUUCAAGCUGUGAUGAAA